GCCAGGCACUGUGGUGUGCACCUGUAAUACCACCUACUCAGAAGGCAGAGGCUGGAGUAUCACUUGAACCCAUGAAUGUGGGGCCAGCCUGUCAACAACAUAGUGAGACCCUGUCUCUU
Molecule: small RNA, 119 nt
Filed under: Marmota monax (woodchuck)
Lineage: Eukaryota; Metazoa; Chordata; Mammalia; Rodentia; Sciuridae
Source: RNAcentral